This 78-nucleotide transfer RNA is filed under the name Stegodyphus mimosarum. It matches the Rfam family "tRNA". From Rfam's summary of the family: Transfer RNA (tRNA) molecules are approximately 80 nucleotides in length. Their secondary structure includes four short double-helical elements and three loops (D, anti-codon, and T loops). Lineage: Eukaryota; Metazoa; Arthropoda; Arachnida; Araneae; Eresidae. The record is from Rfam by way of RNAcentral.
GCCUUCGUGGUGUAGUGGUCAGCACCCUCGACUCGACGCGUAACCGAGAGAUCCGUGGUUCGAUUCCCGGUGAAGGCU